UACGUAGGGUGCGAGCGUUAUCCGGAAUUAUUGGGCGUAAAGCGUUCGUAGGUGGUUUGUUAAGUAGGGCGUUAAAUCUUCGGGCUUAACCCGAAGUUGGCGUCCUAAACUGGCUCACUAGAGAUAGGUAGAGGUAAGCGGAAUUCUGUAUGUAGGGGUAAUAUCCGUAGAUAUGCAGAGGAACACCAAAAGCGAAAGCAGCUUACUGGACCUGUUCUGACACUCAAGAGCGAAAGCGUGGGGAGCAAACGGG
This 253-nucleotide ribosomal RNA is filed under the name uncultured bacterium. RNAcentral's name for it is "partial 16S ribosomal RNA". It matches the Rfam family "Bacterial small subunit ribosomal RNA", at positions 524 to 776 of the family's 1533-position model. The record is from RNAcentral.